RNAcentral lists this transfer RNA (88 nucleotides) under Anaerolineales bacterium. Its description in RNAcentral is "tRNA-Ser". It matches the Rfam family "tRNA". Rfam says of the family: Transfer RNA (tRNA) molecules are approximately 80 nucleotides in length. Their secondary structure includes four short double-helical elements and three loops (D, anti-codon, and T loops). Further hydrogen bonds mediate the characteristic L-shaped molecular structure. tRNAs have two regions of fundamental functional importance: the anti-codon, which is responsible for specific mRNA codon recognition, and the 3' end, to which the tRNAs corresponding amino acid is attached (by aminoacyl-tRNA synthetases). tRNAs cope with the degeneracy of the genetic code in two manners: having more than one tRNA (with a specific anti-codon) for a particular amino acid; and 'wobble' base-pairing, i.e. permitting non-standard base-pairing at the 3rd anti-codon position. Lineage: Bacteria; Bacillati; Chloroflexota; Anaerolineae; Anaerolineales. The record is from RNAcentral.
GGAGGGAUGGCCGAGUGGUUUAAGGCGGCGGUCUUGAAAACCGUUGUAGGUCUACGACUUACCGGGGGUUCGAAUCCCUCUCCCUCCG